CGUUCAUUAAGUUGGCUGAUGAAAAUAUUAUUCGAGCCCGAUAGUAACAGUAGUCGUCUUAAAAAAUUGCAAGCUUCUGUUUCUAGGGUUUAUGAUGUUUUCAACUUCUGAUUUCUUAGACCGGCCUUGAAUUUUUGGGAAGGUGAUAGGAGACAAAUAUUUACAACUAAUUUCUGGCGAAUUCCGCCGUUCGUGCCGAUUCUGUUGGAGUUCUUCUCACCAACAAAGGGAAACCGAAACCAUUACAGGCUGUAUUCAUCGUCGUCUUUAACGUCCUUCUUUACUCCUUCUCUCCACUCCUUCAACGAUCUAUCAUUAAAUGCACCUCUUCUUCUUCCUACCCGUGAAUCUGCAGCUAUAAAUAGAAUAGAAUACGCCUCUCUCCUCCUUCAAGACUCCAAAGCCGGUCGCUGUACACGGACGAGGUGUAGCUGCUGAGGUUUUGGGAGACCGAUAAUGUAAAAGGGGCGGCUAGGUUAUGGGUUUUCAUGGCGGACAGUUUCAGCUUUCAUCAUCAUCCUCGAUUCUUAUUAAUGGCAAUCAAAUCCGAUUUCAAGUCAUAGAUCUGAAAAUUAAUGAUGCGCUGGCUAUGGAAAUUUUGUCUUGAUACCAACAUAAUUUCACAAGUCGAAGGCUUGGUGAUGUUUACGACCGCAGUUGUGGCUGAUGCUGAGAACCAGAAGAAGUGGACUAAGUCUCCUUUUACUGGUUUCGCAUAGGGUGUGGCGUGGUGUCUCUGGCUCUUUCAAGGUGAUGUUAGAUUAAUGUCAGUGUUUGGUGGAACUCCAUUAUGUUAUCUAUAGAAGAUAUGAUCCCACAUUCUUUAUGGGCGUGUGUCAAAUACACAAUUCUUUGUUAUAACAAUAAGCUGAGGAAGAAGACUUGAGAAGGAUCAAAAGAAAAUGGUCUAUUUAAGAAUCAGUGCUAUUAGCUGGUGUAUGUACUAGAAACUCUCCAAAAAAGAAAGACAGAGGUGGUUGCGUUUCUUCACAGAUAAAACUCAGCAACAAGAUUCAUCAGAAGAAGCAUAAACAUGGUGGUAGACCUGGAAAAUGCGGGGCCAAAAACUCAGCUACGAUGCCCGAUAAAUGAUUAUAAUGAAGGAAAUCUCGGUUCCGGAUCAGUGUCUUCUGUGAGCACUUCUGUGUGCUCAGGCCGAGACAACACAACAUUUGUUCUUCAAUUGCACUUACAGUACUCAGCAUUCCAAGCUGAAAUAUAUUUUAUUUGGAAAGAGAGGAAUGCUAUACUUCAUAACAAUACUUCUCGACGGCCAGUGCUCUAACUGAAGACAUCUCUCGACAGCUUAGAGCAAAACUUGACAUUCUCUCUCCACGGCAACUGGCGCGUUUUGCUCCUGUUUCCUUUCUUGCCACUUGGAUUUCUUUAUUCUAGAGCUUCGGUUUAUUCAUGAUUGAAGCUAGGAAACUAUUUUUGUAUGCAGAUCCUUAGGGACUGAGAAUUUGUGAUGUAAUCAUGUAUGGAUGUUGGUUGAAAUGAA
Long non-coding RNA from Brassica napus (rape), 1501 nucleotides. RefSeq lists it as uncharacterized. The transcript is spliced from 5 exons. The record is from RefSeq and is a predicted model, not a curated record. NCBI's taxonomy places the organism in Eukaryota, Viridiplantae, Streptophyta, Magnoliopsida, Brassicales, Brassicaceae.